UAAUUUCAAGUAUUUAUUCUACCUUCUUAUAUUAUUUUUGAUUUUUUUUAUAUAUACUUUUUGAAACAGCUACCUAACAUAUUAUUCUAACAUAAUCUAUUAACUAGUUAACUCGAGUGGUAAGAAACAUAAAAAGAAACCCAUUUGUUACAAAAUUGACGAAUGAAGGAACAACAGACGCAAACUGAUUUGUAGAGAGCAAUAAAGGCAUUUGUUAAGCAAAAUGUUAA
Molecule: long non-coding RNA, 230 nt
Filed under: Vigna radiata
Lineage: Eukaryota; Viridiplantae; Streptophyta; Magnoliopsida; Fabales; Fabaceae
Description: long non-coding RNA (VRAD_LNC017141)
Source: RNAcentral